AACUUGACAUGUAUUGUGUCCUAUGUGAAAACAUAGUAGUUCUGCCUUGUGCAGGACGCUUUACACAGGUGGUGCAUGGUCGUCGUCAGCUCGUGCCGCAAGGUGUCUAGUUAAGUCUGGAAACGAGCGCAACCCUCAUCUUUAGUUAGAAUGUCUAAAGAGACUGCUUCGGUAACGGAGAGGAAGGAGAGGAUGACGUCAGAUCCUCAUGCCCCUUACGUUUAGGGCUUCAUAGAUAAUACAAUGGGUGAUACAACGAGAAGCAAUACCGUGAGGUGGAGCAAAUCUUUAAAGUUAUCCCUAGUUCGGAUUGUAGUCUGGAAUUCGACUACAUGAAGUUGGAAUUGCUAGUAAUGGCAGGUCAGAUAUACUGCCGUGAAUAUGUCCCUGUUCCUUGCACUCACCGCCCGUC
RNAcentral lists this ribosomal RNA (412 nucleotides) under uncultured bacterium. RNAcentral's name for it is "bacterial SSU rRNA". It matches the Rfam family "Bacterial small subunit ribosomal RNA", at positions 978 to 1398 of the family's 1533-position model. The record is from RNAcentral.